GGAAGGAUCAUUAUCGAAUAAACUUGAUCAGGUUGUUGCUGGCCUUUUGAAGGCAUGUGCACACUUGUCAUCUUUAUUUCUCCAACUGUGCACAUAUUGUAGACCAUGGAUGUUGUUGCUAAUAGCAGAUUUGAGAAGUGCUCAGCUUUCUCUUAUGCAAGGUCUAUGUUAUCCAUCUUUUACACACUGUUUUAGAAUGUUUUUUUUUGGAAAUACAAAUGUACAACUUUCAGCAACGGAUCUCUUGGUUCUCGCAUCGAUGAAGAACGCAGCGAAAUGCGAUAAGUAAUGUGAAUUGCAGAAUUCAGUGAAUCAUCGAAUCUUUGAACGCAACUUGCGCUCCUUGGUACUCUGAGGAGCAUGCCUGUUUGAGUGUCAUUAAACUUCUUCUCAACCCAUCCAGUUUCUCUGUGUGUGGGCUUUGGACAAUUGGGGGCUUGCUGGUUACUAUUUGUCCAGCUCUCCUGAAAAGCAUUAGCGGCAUCUGGGCUGCUUGCAGGUGUGAUAACUUGUCUACACCUUUGCAGUGGCUGCAUUUGUGCUGCUUCAGAGGGCAUUGAUGAAAUUG
This 568-nucleotide ribosomal RNA is filed under the name Inocybe grammata. Its description in RNAcentral is "eukaryotic LSU rRNA". The stretch from base 225 to 378 matches the Rfam family "5.8S ribosomal RNA". Lineage: Eukaryota; Fungi; Basidiomycota; Agaricomycetes; Agaricales; Inocybaceae. The record is from RNAcentral.